GAUGAACGCUGGCGGCGUGCCUAAUACAUGCAAGUCGAGCGAACAGAUAAGGAGCUUGCUCCUUUGACGUUAGCGGCGGACGGGUGAGUAACACGUGGGUAACCUACCUAUAAGACUGGGAUAACUUCGGGAAACCGGAGCUAAUACCGGAUAACAUUUGGAACCGCAUGGUUCUAAAGUGAAAGAUGGUUUUGCUAUCACUUAUAGAUGGACCCGCGCCGUAGUAGCUAGUUGGUAAGGUAACGGCUUACCAAGGCGACGAUACGUAGCCGACCUGAGAGGGUGAUCGGCCACACUGGAACUGAGACACGGUCCAGACUCCUACGGGAGGCAGCAGUAGGGAAUCUUCCGCAAUGGGCGAAAGCCUGACGGAGCAACGCCGCGUGAGUGAUGAAGGGUUUCGGCUCGUAAAACUCUGUUAUUAGGGAAGAACAAAUGUGUAAGUAACUGUGCACGUCCUGACGGUACCUAAUCAGAAAGCCACGGCUAACUACGUG
This 497-nucleotide ribosomal RNA is filed under the name uncultured bacterium. RNAcentral's name for it is "partial 16S ribosomal RNA". It matches the Rfam family "Bacterial small subunit ribosomal RNA", at positions 28 to 507 of the family's 1533-position model. The record is from RNAcentral.